UACGAAGGGGGCUAGCGUUGCUCGGAAUCACUGGGCGUAAAGGGUGCGUAGGCGGGUCUUUAAGUCAGGGGUGAAAUCCUGGAGCUUAACUAUAGAAUUGCCAUUGAAACUGAAAGUCUCGAGUGUGGUUGAGGUAACUGGAAUAUAUCAUGUAGCGGUGAAAUGCUUAGAUAUGAUAUAGAACACCAAUUGCGAAGGCAGGUUACUGAGCCAUUACUGACGCUGAGGCACGAAAGCGUGGGGAUCAAACAGG
This 253-nucleotide ribosomal RNA is filed under the name uncultured bacterium. Its description in RNAcentral is "partial 16S ribosomal RNA". It matches the Rfam family "Bacterial small subunit ribosomal RNA", at positions 524 to 776 of the family's 1533-position model. The record is from RNAcentral.